Molecule: ribosomal RNA, 2080 nt
Filed under: Escherichia coli HVH 122 (4-6851606)
Lineage: Bacteria; Pseudomonadati; Pseudomonadota; Gammaproteobacteria; Enterobacterales; Enterobacteriaceae
Description: bacterial LSU rRNA
Rfam family: Bacterial large subunit ribosomal RNA
Source: RNAcentral
UUAAGCGACUAAGCGUACACGGUGGAUGCCCUGGCAGUCAGAGGCGAUGAAGGACGUGCUAAUCUGCGAUAAGCGUCGGUAAGGUGAUAUGAACCGUUAUAACCGGCGAUUUCCGAAUGGGGAAACCCAGUGUGAUUCGUCACACUAUCAUUAACUGAAUCCAUAGGUUAAUGAGGCGAACCGGGGGAACUGAAACAUCUAAGUACCCCGAGGAAAAGAAAUCAACCGAGAUUCCCCCAGUAGCGGCGAGCGAACGGGGAGCAGCCCAGAGCCUGAAUCAGUGUGUGUGUUAGUGGAAGCGUCUGGAAAGGCGCGCGAUACAGGGUGACAGCCCCGUACACAAAAAUGCACAUACUGUGAGCUCGAUGAGUAGGGCGGGACACGUGGUAUCCUGUCUGAAUAUGGGGGGACCAUCCUCCAAGGCUAAAUACUCCUGACUGACCGAUAGUGAACCAGUACCGUGAGGGAAAGGCGAAAAGAACCCCGGCGAGGGGAGUGAAAAAGAACCUGAAACCGUGUACGUACAAGCAGUGGGAGCCUCUUAAUGGGGUGACUGCGUACCUUUUGUAUAAUGGGUCAGCGACUUAUAUUCUGUAGCAAGGUUAACCGAAUAGGGGAGCCGAAGGGAAACCGAGUCUUAACUGGGCGUUAAGUUGCAGGGUAUAGACCCGAAACCCGGUGAUCUAGCCAUGGGCAGGUUGAAGGUUGGGUAACACUAACUGGAGGACCGAACCGACUAAUGUUGAAAAAUUAGCGGAUGACUUGUGGCUGGGGGUGAAAGGCCAAUCAAACCGGGAGAUAGCUGGUUCUCCCCGAAAGCUAUUUAGGUAGCGCCUCGUGAAUUCAUCUCCGGGGGUAGAGCACUGUUUCGGCAAGGGGGUCAUCCCGACUUACCAACCCGAUGCAAACUGCGAAUACCGGAGAAUGUUAUCACGGGAGACACACGGCGGGUGCUAACGUCCGUCGUGAAGAGGGAAACAACCCAGACCGCCAGCUAAGGUCCCAAAGUCAUGGUUAAGUGGGAAACGAUGUGGGAAGGCCCAGACAGCCAGGAUGUUGGCUUAGAAGCAGCCAUCAUUUAAAGAAAGCGUAAUAGCUCACUGGUCGAGUCGGCCUGCGCGGAAGAUGUAACGGGGCUAAACCAUGCACCGAAGCUGCGGCAGCGACGCUUAUGCGUUGUUGGGUAGGGGAGCGUUCUGUAAGCCUGCGAAGGUGUGCUGUGAGGCAUGCUGGAGGUAUCAGAAGUGCGAAUGCUGACAUAAGUAACGAUAAAGCGGGUGAAAAGCCCGCUCGCCGGAAGACCAAGGGUUCCUGUCCAACGUUAAUCGGGGCAGGGUGAGUCGACCCCUAAGGCGAGGCCGAAAGGCGUAGUCGAUGGGAAACAGGUUAAUAUUCCUGUACUUGGUGUUACUGCGAAGGGGGGACGGAGAAGGCUAUGUUGGCCGGGCGACGGUUGUCCCGGUUUAAGCGUGUAGGCUGGUUUUCCAGGCAAAUCCGGAAAAUCAAGGCUGAGGCGUGAUGACGAGGCACUACGGUGCUGAAGCAACAAAUGCCCUGCUUCCAGGAAAAGCCUCUAAGCAUCAGGUAACAUCAAAUCGUACCCCAAACCGACACAGGUGGUCAGGUAGAGAAUACCAAGGCGCUUGAGAGAACUCGGGUGAAGGAACUAGGCAAAAUGGUGCCGUAACUUCGGGAGAAGGCACGCUGAUAUGUAGGUGAAGUCCCUUGCGGAUGGAGCUGAAAUCAGUCGAAGAUACCAGCUGGCUGCAACUGUUUAUUAAAAACACAGCACUGUGCAAACACGAAAGUGGACGUAUACGGUGUGACGCCUGCCCGGUGCCGGAAGGUUAAUUGAUGGGGUUAGCGGUAACGCGAAGCUCUUGAUCGAAGCCCCGGUAAACGGCGGCCGUAACUAUAACGGUCCUAAGGUAGCGAAAUUCCUUGUCGGGUAAGUUCCGACCUGCACGAAUGGCGUAAUGAUGGCUAGGCUGUCUCCACCCGAGACUCAGUGAAAUUGAACUCGCUGUGAAGAUGCAGUGUACCCGCGGCAAGACGGAAAGACCCCGUGAACCUUUACUAU